Molecule: ribosomal RNA, 597 nt
Filed under: uncultured beta proteobacterium
Lineage: Bacteria; Pseudomonadati; Pseudomonadota; Betaproteobacteria
Description: bacterial SSU rRNA
Rfam family: Bacterial small subunit ribosomal RNA
Source: RNAcentral
AAUUGACGGGGACCCGCACAAGCGGUGGAUGAUGUGGUUUAAUUCGAUGCAACGCGAAAAACCUUACCCACCUUUGACAUGUACGGAAGUCGCUAGAGAUAGCUUCGUGCUCGAAAGAGAACCGUAACACAGGUGCUGCAUGGCUGUCGUCAGCUCGUGUCGUGAGAUGUUGGGUUAAGUCCCGCAACGAGCGCAACCCUUGUCAUUAGUUGCUACAUUCAGUUGGGCACUCUAAUGAGACUGCCGGUGACAAACCGGAGGAAGGUGGGGAUGACGUCAAGUCCUCAUGGCCCUUAUAGGUGGGGCUACACACGUCAUACAAUGGCUGGUACAAAGGGUUGCCAACCCGCGAGGGGGAGCUAAUCCCAUAAAACCAGUCGUAGUCCGGAUCGCAGUCUGCAACUCGACUGCGUGAAGUCGGAAUCGCUAGUAAUCGUGGAUCAGAAUGUCACGGUGAAUACGUUCCCGGGUCUUGUACACACCGCCCGUCACACCAUGGGAGCGGGUCUCGCCAGAAGUAGUUAGCCUAACCGCAAGGAGGGCGAUUACCACGGCGGGGUUCGUGAUCUGGGGUGAAGUCGUAACAAGUAACAAUCG